This 824-nucleotide long non-coding RNA is filed under the name Oryzias javanicus (javanese ricefish). RNAcentral's name for it is "lncRNA (ENSOJAG00000019262.1)". Lineage: Eukaryota; Metazoa; Chordata; Actinopteri; Beloniformes; Adrianichthyidae. The record is from RNAcentral.
CAGCAUUUGAAACCUCUCCUCUUAUAACUGCUUCUGUCUGACACAGGGGGGAGGCAGAGUGAGUUAUACAGUACCGAAGCGAUCUGUGACCAGGAACUACCCUCACGCUUGUUGUCGGAACACAUUCACGCACUUAGGUGACUUUCUUGCUUCCUUGUCGGCAUGCGUCGUUGCCUCCUCCCAUCCUCUGGUCAUUUCCUCCAGCUUCUCGUGUCUAUGUGCCUGAGUGUGGGAUUCUAAAGCUAAAUCUUGAUGAUUGAGGACUUAUUUUGAACAUGCUGGGACAGCCCAGCACCCAGCAAAACAGGAACCGAUGAGAUACCCAGAGACCAGCCUCCACAAAUCCCACUUCGAAGCAAGACACCCCAAAUACAGGAAAACAGCACGCUGCCCCCCCAGGCUGACCUGCAGCCAGUUGUUCCAUCCAGGAGGGUCCCACAACCUCCCAGUCCAGUCAUUUUCAGUGCUCCUGACCAUCAUCCUCUACCAGGUUUGGACUCUGACGACAAUAUUUCUGAUGAGUACGAGAGACCAGACUUCCUCUGCAGUGUUCCUCAAGAGAACAUGGCAGGCGAGGCAAGAUGAUUUCCCGCUUUUUAUCCAAUGAUCUUCCUGCUUCUCUCCUCUCACUGUGCAGCUUGAUGGUAUUUGUUCUUUCUUUGUUGGAAUAGAACUCGCGCCUACAAGUGUCCAGUGACUUUUGCAGUGACGAUGAAAUGCUGGACUAUGAAGAAUAGUACGUAUUGAAAAAAAAAAUUCUGUUGCAUACAGCACUUCCAAAAAUGUAGGUUUAUGUUUCUGUUUACUUUAUAAAUUAGUAGAUG